UACGUAGGCAGCGAGCGUUGUUCGGAGUUACUGGGCGUAAAGGGUGUGUAGGCGGUUUCUUAAGUUUGGUGUGAAAUCUCCCGGCUUAACUGGGAGGGUGCGCCGAAUACUGAGAGGCUCGAGUGCGGGAGAGGAGAGUGGAAUUCCUGGUGUAGCGGUGAAAUGCGCAGAUAUCAGGAAGAACACCCGUGGCGAAGGCGGCUCUCUGGAACGCAACUGACGCUGAGACGCGAAAGCGUGGGGAGCAAACAGG
RNAcentral lists this ribosomal RNA (253 nucleotides) under uncultured bacterium. RNAcentral's name for it is "partial 16S ribosomal RNA". It matches the Rfam family "Bacterial small subunit ribosomal RNA", at positions 524 to 776 of the family's 1533-position model. The record is from RNAcentral.